RNAcentral lists this ribosomal RNA (252 nucleotides) under uncultured bacterium. RNAcentral's name for it is "partial 16S ribosomal RNA". It matches the Rfam family "Bacterial small subunit ribosomal RNA", at positions 524 to 776 of the family's 1533-position model. The record is from RNAcentral.
UACGGGGGGGGCAAGCGUUGUUCGGAAUUACUGGGCGUAAAGGGCUCGUAGGCGGCCAACUAAGUCGGACGUGAAAUCCCCAGGCUCAACCUGGGAACUGCGUCCGAUACUGGAUGGCUUGAAUCCGGAGAGGGAUGCAGAAUUCCAGGUAUAGCGGUGAAAUGCGUAGAGAUGUGGAGGAAUACCGAUGGCGAAGGCAGCCCCCUGGGAUAACACUGACGCUCAUGCACGAAAGCGUGGGGAGCAAACAGG